Molecule: transfer RNA, 84 nt
Filed under: Kocuria palustris
Lineage: Bacteria; Bacillati; Actinomycetota; Actinomycetes; Micrococcales; Micrococcaceae
Description: tRNA-Leu
Rfam family: tRNA
About the family: Transfer RNA (tRNA) molecules are approximately 80 nucleotides in length. Their secondary structure includes four short double-helical elements and three loops (D, anti-codon, and T loops).
Source: RNAcentral
GCCGCCGUGGCGGAACUGGCAGACGCGCUGGAUUCAAGAUCCGGUGUCCUCACGGGCGUGUGGGUUCGAUUCCCGCAGGCGGCA